RNAcentral lists this long non-coding RNA (1314 nucleotides) under Theobroma cacao (cacao). RNAcentral's name for it is "long non-coding RNA (TCAC_LNC000511)". The record is from RNAcentral. Lineage: Eukaryota; Viridiplantae; Streptophyta; Magnoliopsida; Malvales; Malvaceae.
GUAAAAGCAAAAUAAAUUUCUACAUACUGUAGCACACGUAGCCAGGUAUUCAAAACAUUUAACAAUGACAUGUGGGCUCCCGAAUGACUAAAAGUAAUGAAGGCUGUGAACCUACAAUUUUUGAGGAUGCAAGUCCAAUUGUAGCCCUCAACUAAAUGAGCUAUCUACUGACUAUCCUAAGCCUGAAAUGGGUGUAAAGGAGGGUGAUGAGAUUAUAUAAUCCCAGUGAGUAAACAAAUAUCAUCUAAAAUAUCUAAAGCUGAGUAAAUGGAGACAGAUAAAAUAGAUUAGCAUAAAAAUGAUUCACAGCAUUUCAAACUCAUUUUAAUAAGAUAAAAUAGAUUCAUUUCACCCAAAUAAGCAACAAGGCUUACGAUUUCCUAAAAAACUUGGCUCGUGCCAAAAUCAUUCUCAUACUCGGUUGUUAGGGAUACCUUGACCUGGGGCUAUCCCAACCGAAUCCGCCAAGGCUGUUAAAAAGUCAUGUACGCAUAAAUCAUGUUUUUAUUUUGAAAACAUAGCCGUUCCUUGGCGUUGGCUGAGUUCACCCUCAUGUGGUGGUUUGGCGUGAAGUGAACUCUAAAGUUUUACCUCAGAAGUUACCCUACGCGCCUCCUCAACCAAGGUAAGAAUAUACCCGGAUUUCAUGCCCCUCAAAAAGGCUGGUCCACAGAACCCGCCACUGCAGUGACCAAUCUAUAACCCAUCAAUUCAAUAAAAAUUCAACAGCAUGACAUGGCAAUUUUAUCAUUAUCCAGCCUAUCAAGGCAAACAACAGUUUGUACAUUUUCAACACAAAUACCCAUCCAGCCAUUCAUGCCCACAUUAUCAUAAGCCAUUCAUUUCAAAACAUAAUUUACAAUACAGCAAGUAGUCUCCAAUUACUCCAUUUUCAAAUCAUCAUUAAGUUUCAAAACAAUUUAUAAAAUCAUUUCAUUUAAUCACAUUUUGCUUAUAAAACAUAAAGAUUUACCAUAUAAACUCAUUUUUCUAUCAAAUCACAAAAACGAAUAAAAACUACUUUAGAUAAUUAAGACGAUAAUAAGGUUACUCACUGUAAUGGGAAUCGAAUUCGGGAUACUCUGAUUCUGGAUCCUCGGAUACUACCUCUUUACUCUUGCUAGAAUGCUCACCACCUAGACAUAAUGCACAAUAAGCAAUUUGCUACAUUUGUGCUAAACCGUUGUAAAAACAAUUCAGGCUCUAUACUAAUGCAUGAAAUGGGAUGUGAAAUACUCGGGUAAUUAUCUAAAUACGGUGUUCAAUAUAAAUUCAAUUAUGUACCUAAAUAAAAUGGUAUUGGCCUAAUUCGAU